UUUCUGCAAGGGAAAGUUUCACUGCUGUCAGGCACUGCCCAGAGUUCAACAAAAACCAAGAGGCUUCCUAAAUAACCCCAAGAAUUGACAAAUACACUGGUGUUUUUUACACAGGAGUAAAGGAUUCCCCAUGGAAACCAGCACCAACCCAGCCAAAAGGUUCAAAUUCAGCCCUCACUGGAUCCACACCUGUGGAUUCAUGGAUCCUGCAGCCAUGGACACCCGCCACCCCACCGGUGACUAACAGGGUGACAUUAUGGCCAGAAAAGCCCACGAUGAUCUCCAGAGCCCCCCGUACCUGCCAUGCUGGCACACGCUCAGCCUCUCUGCUCCUCAGGAAAAAUACUUGGGAAAAACGUGGGAGAUUCAGCAAAGCUGGAGGAGAACGAGAGAAAAAAAAGUUGAUUGAAGUGGUCAGGGACGCCUGCAAAAGCCUUCACCUUCCCCUCGUUCCCAAACAACUCAAGGACAGCAGUUGGCUUCAAUUCUGUGACACUCUGGACUGUCACACAUCCAGGCUGGCACCUGGCUGGCAGUGUGAUAAAUCCUGGCUCCCCUGGCUCAGGCUUAUGCACCAGUAAAGGCAGAAGAUUACGAGAGGAUCCAGUGAUGUGUGGCCUCCCACUACCAACUGACCUACAUCCAGGAGAGGGCCAGCACAGGGGACUACCUGGUUGCCUGGUAGCUGCCAUCUCUGCAAGCCCAAGCCAAAAACAAGGCCAAAAAGGGAGCAGAAAAUCACAGCAGAGAAAUCAGCAGGAAAAAAAAAUAAAUCAGUGGCGAUUGUCACUAAUGAGUCACUUGAGUGCCUGGCUUAACAAUUACUCAUGUCAUUUGGCACCUCAUUCCACAGCAUGCAGGUGGGAAAGGGGGAGCUCGGCAUCCCAGGACCUUCCCUGACCAGUCCAUGCUCAGCUGUGUGCCAGAUGUGAAAAUUACGGCGAAUAAAGCCAAAAAUGAAUACCUGA
Long non-coding RNA from Passer domesticus (house sparrow), 968 nucleotides. RefSeq lists it as uncharacterized. NCBI's taxonomy places the organism in Eukaryota, Metazoa, Chordata, Aves, Passeriformes, Passeridae. The transcript has 2 exons. The record is from RefSeq and is a predicted model, not a curated record.